GUCCAUGGCCAUACCACCCUGCACACACCCGAUCUCAUCUUGUCUCGGAAGUUAAGCAGGGUCGGGCCUGGUUAGUACUUGGAUGGAAGAAAUGGCUAAUUAAAUUUC
Non-coding RNA from Fukomys damarensis (Damara mole-rat), 108 nucleotides. The record is from Rfam. Lineage: Eukaryota; Metazoa; Chordata; Mammalia; Rodentia; Bathyergidae.